ACAGAGGUCCCAAGCGUUGUUCGGAUUCACUGGGCGUAAAGGGUGCGUAGGUGGCCGGUUAAGUCUGACGUGAAAUCUCUGAGCCCAACUCAGAAACUGCGUCGGAAACUAUCCGGCUUGAGGAUUGGAGGGGGGACUGGAAUACUUGGUGUAGCAGUGAAAUGCGUAGAUAUCAAGUGGAACACCAGUGGCGAAGGCGAGUCCCUGGACAAUUCCUGACACUGAGGCACGAAAGCUAGGGGAGCAAACAGG
RNAcentral lists this ribosomal RNA (252 nucleotides) under uncultured bacterium. Its description in RNAcentral is "partial 16S ribosomal RNA". It matches the Rfam family "Bacterial small subunit ribosomal RNA", at positions 525 to 776 of the family's 1533-position model. The record is from RNAcentral.